RNAcentral lists this ribosomal RNA (512 nucleotides) under uncultured bacterium. RNAcentral describes it as "bacterial SSU rRNA". It matches the Rfam family "Bacterial small subunit ribosomal RNA", at positions 28 to 528 of the family's 1533-position model. The record is from RNAcentral.
GACGAACGCUGGCGGCGUGGAUUAGGCAUGCAAGUCGAACGGUAUCAUCCUUUCGGGGGUGAGAGAGUGGCGAACUGGUGAGUAACACGUAGGUUAUCUACCCUCAAGACGGGGACAACCCAGGGAAACUUGGGCUAAUACCGGAUGUGAGCAACUUUUUAGUUGUUUUGAAAGGUGGCGUAAGCUGUCGCUUGGGGAUGAGCCUGCGUCCUAUUAGUUAGUUGGUGAGGUAACGGCUCACCUAGGCAAUGAUAGGUAGGCGGCCUUAACGGGUGGUCGCCCACACUGGGAUUGAGAUACGGCCCAGACUCCUACGGGAGGCAGCAGUCGAGAAUAGUCUACAAUGGUCGGAAGACUGAUAGGUGCGACGCCGCGUGAACGAUGAAUCCCUUCGGGGUGUAAAGUUCUUUUAUAUGUGAGCAGUGCUUCUUAUAUUAACAGUACGGGGAGAGAGAUAUUAGCAUAUGAAUAAGCAACGGCUAACUCCGUGCCAGCAGCCGCGGUAAACUCGU